CUCGUAGGCGGUUCGUCGCGUCCGGUGUGAAAGUCCAUCGCUUAACGGUGGAUCCGCGCCGGGUACGGGCGGGCUUGAGUGCGGUAGGGGAGACUGGAAUUCCCGGUGUAACGGUGGAAUGUGUAGAUAUCGGGAAGAAUACCAAUGGCGAAGGCAGGUCUCUGGGCCGUUACUGACGCUGAGGAGCGAAAGCGUGGGGAGCGAACA
This 207-nucleotide ribosomal RNA is filed under the name uncultured bacterium. RNAcentral's name for it is "partial 16S ribosomal RNA". It matches the Rfam family "Bacterial small subunit ribosomal RNA", at positions 568 to 774 of the family's 1533-position model. The record is from RNAcentral.